RNAcentral lists this ribosomal RNA (443 nucleotides) under uncultured bacterium. RNAcentral's name for it is "partial 16S ribosomal RNA". It matches the Rfam family "Bacterial small subunit ribosomal RNA", at positions 338 to 795 of the family's 1533-position model. The record is from RNAcentral.
CCUACGGGUGGCAGCAGUGGGGAAUAUUGGGCAAUGGGCGCAAGCCUGACCCAGCAACGCCGCGUGAAGGAAGAAGGCUUUCGGGUUGUAAACUUCUUUUCUCAGGGACGAAGCAAGUGACGGUACCUGAGGAAUAAGCCACGGCUAACUACGUGCCAGCAGCCGCGGUAAUACGUAGGUGGCAAGCGUUAUCCGGAUUUACUGGGUGUAAAGGGCGUGUAGGCGGGAAAGCAAGUCAGAUGUGAAAACCAUGGGCUCAACCUGUGGCCUGCAUUUGAAACUGUUUUUCUGGAGAACUGGAGAGGCAGACGGAAUUCCUAGUGUAGCGGUGAAAUGCGUAGAUAUUAGGAGGAACACCAGUGGCGAAGGCGGUCUGCUGGACAGCAACUGACGCUGAGGCGCGAAAGCGUGGGGAGCAAACAGGAUUAGAUACCCUUGUAGUC